GCGGCGAUCAGUAGCUGGUCUGAGAGGAUGAUCAGCCACACUGGGACUGAGACACGGCCCAGACUCCUACGGGAGGCAGCAGUGGGGAAUUUUCCGCAAUGGGCGAAAGCCUGACGGAGCAAUACCGCGUGAGGGAGGAAGGCUCUUGGGUUGUAAACCUCUUUUCUCAAGGAAGAACACAAUGACGGUACUUGAGGAAUAAGCAUCGGCUAACUCCGUGCCAGCAGCCGCGGUAAUACGGAGGAUGCAAGCGUUAUCCGGAAUGAUUGGGCGUAAAGCGUCCGCAGGUGGCUAUGUAAGUCUGCUGUUAAAUAGUCUAGCUCAACUAGAUAAAGGCAGUGGAAACUACAUGGCUAGAGUGCGUUCGGGGCAGAGGGAAUUCCUGGUGUAGCGGUGAAAUGCGUAGAGAUCAGGAAGAACACCGGUGGCGAAAGCGCUCUGCUAGGCCGCAACUGACACUGAGGGACGAAAGCUAGGGGAGCGAAUGGGAUUAGAUACCCCAGUAGUCCUAGCCGUAAACGAUGGAUACUAGGCGUGGCUUGUAUCGACCCGAGCCGUGCCGUAGCUAACGCGUUAAGUAUCCCGCCUGGGGAGUACGCAGGCAACUGUGAAACUCAAAUGAAUUGACGG
RNAcentral lists this ribosomal RNA (630 nucleotides) under uncultured cyanobacterium. Its description in RNAcentral is "bacterial SSU rRNA". It matches the Rfam family "Bacterial small subunit ribosomal RNA", at positions 273 to 916 of the family's 1533-position model. Lineage: Bacteria; Bacillati; Cyanobacteriota. The record is from RNAcentral.